Molecule: ribosomal RNA, 507 nt
Filed under: uncultured bacterium
Lineage: Bacteria
Description: bacterial SSU rRNA
Rfam family: Bacterial small subunit ribosomal RNA
Source: RNAcentral
UCGGGAAUUUUGCUCAAUGGGGGAAACCCUGAAGCAGCAACGCCGCGUGCGGGAUGAAGGCCUUCGGGUUGUAAACCGCUUUUUCUAGGGACGAUGAUGACGGUACCUGAAGAAUAAGUCACGGCUAACUACGUGCCAGCAGCCGCGGUAAUACGUAGGUGACCAGCGUUGUCCGGAUUUACUGGGCGUAAAGAGCGCGCAGGCGGUCGUUCAAGUCGAGUGUGAAAGCCCCCGGCUCAACUGGGGAGGGUCAUUCGAUACUGAUCGACUUGAAGGCAGGAGAGGGAAGCGGAAUUCCCGGUGUAGUGGUGAAAUGCGUAGAUAUCGGGAGGAACACCAGUGGCGAAGGCGGCUUCCUGGCCUGUUCUUGACGCUGAGGCGCGAAAGCUAGGGGGAGCAAACGGGGAUUAGAUACCCCCGGUAGUCCUAGCCGUAAACGAUGGACACUAGGUGUUGGUGGGUAUCAACCCCACCAGUGCCGAAGCUAACGCAUUAAGUGUCCCGCCU